AAUGAUAUAGCGCCAUCUACGACAUCAAUUACUUUCGCCAUCUUGAAACCCCAAUUCUGUGCUUUCGUUGGGAAGAGGACGUUGAAUAUAUCGAAAUUUUCAUAUAAAGGAAUUAAACGAAUUCAGUAUGUCAAGAUAUGGAGAAUACAGUCGUAUGUUUCCAGCCAGUAUAUCUAAUCAUCUGAGGCCGUAUGUGCGCACAUUAGGUCCAUUUUUAGCACCAGGAAUUAUCAUCAUCGGCUAUGUAAUGAUUAAAGGCACAUUUGCUGGAAUUGCUCAAAGGAGGUCUGCAAGUGCAUUAGCUAGUGGAGGACACCAUUAAACAAGGAGAUGACCUCAUAGAAUGAUAACCAAUGGACUGUUGUGAUUUAAGAAAAUGGAAUAAUCUUACAAAUUCACCAAUCAGAGUCGAACCUGUUUAACCAAUUGAAAUGCAAUAUUUCUAACUUCGGGAAGCUUCCACCAAUCCAGUUCCCUGUCCUUUAGGCGUUUGCUGUUUUAAUUAUUCAUGCAUAAAAACCAGAUUUGUUUGAAUAAAGCUGUGUUGUGCAGGGAAUUUAGGCAGAUUUAUAUAUAGAGAUGGUUAGUAUCUGGCAGAAAUAAAGUGUUAAAGAUGAAAA
Molecule: long non-coding RNA, 620 nt
Filed under: Anneissia japonica
Lineage: Eukaryota; Metazoa; Echinodermata; Crinoidea; Comatulida; Comatulidae
Description: uncharacterized LOC117120132, transcript variant X2
Source: RNAcentral